Molecule: ribosomal RNA, 253 nt
Filed under: uncultured bacterium
Lineage: Bacteria
Description: partial 16S ribosomal RNA
Rfam family: Bacterial small subunit ribosomal RNA
Source: RNAcentral
GACGUAGGGCGCAAGCGUUGUCCGGAAUUAUUGGGCGUAAAGAGCUCGUAGGCGGCUUGUUGCGUCGACUGUGAAAAACCACGACUCAACCGUGGGACUGCAGUCGAUACGGGCAGGCUAGAGUUCGGUAGGGGAGACUGGAAUUCCUGGUGUAGCGGUGGAAUGCGCAGAUAUCAGGAGGAACACCGAUGGCGAAGGCAGGUCUCUGGGCCGAUACUGACGCUGAGACGCGAAAGCGUGGGGAGCGAACAGG